Molecule: ribosomal RNA, 630 nt
Filed under: Triticum aestivum (bread wheat)
Lineage: Eukaryota; Viridiplantae; Streptophyta; Magnoliopsida; Poales; Poaceae
Description: partial small subunit ribosomal RNA
Source: RNAcentral
AUGAUUCAGCCAGUUCAUGUUGGGUAUGAUGGUUCCGUGAAACGUUGUCGGGUCCAUGAUACGGUGCUUGAUCUCGUCAUAUCUUUAUCUGAUGAAGAGAACUUUGCUACCGUUUUACAUGGACGUAUUUGCAAUUCAUUUUCAAGCAAGAUUCAUCGUCUGUCAAUGCAAUCUAGUGCCAAAGAGCAGGGUGAGGCGGUCCAUGCAAUCACAGAAACCAAGUCACAUGUUCGCUCACUGACUAUGUUUGGGCAAGUUAAGCAGAUAUGCCACCUCGUGGACUUUCAUGCUUUGCGGGUGUUGGAUCUCGUACGAUGUGAAUGGUUGGAAAACAAGCAUGUAAAAAAUAUAGAAAGUUCAUGCCAGCUUAGGUAUUUGCAACUUAGCAGUUUUAAAAUCACAGAGCUUCCUGGGGAAAUCGGAAAGCUGCAGCACUUAGAGACUCUUGAUAUGAGAGGAUGUUAUUAUCUUCCAAGACUGCCAUCAACUGUUAUGCAAUUGCAAAAAUUGGUGCGCCUACUUGUGAGCCGUCGAACAGAGUUGCCUGCAAGUGAGUUUGGGAGUAUGCAAGCCUUGCAGGAGUUGGAGAAGUUAAAUAUCUGGAACAAUGACAAGAUUGCAAAUACAUGA